GGCCGGUACAUUUACACACCUCAAACAGCUAGCAAUAACUUUGUCAUAUCUUGUGAAAUUUUAAAUCACACUAGGAUGUUUCUUUUCCUGUUCUUUUUCCUCUUUCCGGGGAAAAAAAAAAAAAGGACUAGCCUUCAGAUUCACAAAUUUCCAGAGUCUGACUGUCAACCCUCAACGGGAAACAGUUUCUUUUCCCCUACUUUUUGGUAUUUUUGGGAACAACAUAUUGUACGGGUGAAAAAACCAGAAUUUUCGUCAGAGCUUCAAGCCAUCCCGCGCCUUCCAUCUGCUGCAUAAGUCAUCAAUUUUCAAAGUAGCUUAAGUAAUUUCCCAUCAGCGAGCCCACUCAAGUAUCAGUUGAAGUUACAGACAGACUGCCGCUAACCAAUGAAACCCAUGUUAACACACAAUUGUCACUCUGAAAUCCGGAGAUUCUUAUCAAGCAAGCACAUAUGAUUGUCAUCAAGAUCUCUUUAACCAAGUGGCUGGCCCUUCCGUUGGUGAGCUACCUACCAUAUGAUCUCCAAACCUCUCUCCAUUGUCUCCUAGUGCCGCUUCUUUCAAAUUGAUAGUUGUGAGCAUCUGUGCAUGUUCUAUAUGCGCUGCUUCCACUCUCUCUCUUUUUGGCAUUCCUCUUCUCUUCUUCAAGAUCAUACUGUGAGCGCUUAGUAGGGUCUGAAAGUACUGCAUAUGCCUCCCCAAUCAU
Molecule: unclassified non-coding RNA, 706 nt
Filed under: Hevea brasiliensis (rubber tree)
Lineage: Eukaryota; Viridiplantae; Streptophyta; Magnoliopsida; Malpighiales; Euphorbiaceae
Source: RNAcentral